This 402-nucleotide ribosomal RNA is filed under the name uncultured bacterium. Its description in RNAcentral is "bacterial SSU rRNA". It matches the Rfam family "Bacterial small subunit ribosomal RNA", at positions 355 to 774 of the family's 1533-position model. The record is from RNAcentral.
UGGGGAAUCUUAGACAAUGGGCGCAAGCCUGAUCUAGCCAUGCCGCGUGAGUGACGAAGGCCUUAGGGUCGUAAAGCUCUUUCGCCAGGGAUGAUAAUGACAGUACCUGGUAAAGAAACCCCGGCUAACUCCGUGCCAGCAGCCGCGGUAAUACGGAGGGGGUUAGCGUUGUUCGGAAUUACUGGGCGUAAAGCGUACGUAGGCGGAUUGGAAAGUAUGGGGUGAAAUCCCAGGGCUCAACCCUGGAACUGCCCUGUAAACUAUCAGUCUAGAGUUCGAGAGAGGUGAGUGGAAUUCCAAGUGUAGAGGUGAAAUUCGUAGAUAUUUGGAGGAACACCAGUGGCGAAGGCGGCUCACUGGCUCGAUACUGACGCUGAGGUACGAAAGUGUGGGGAGCAAACA